This 322-nucleotide ribosomal RNA is filed under the name uncultured eukaryote. RNAcentral describes it as "partial 18S ribosomal RNA". It matches the Rfam family "Eukaryotic small subunit ribosomal RNA", at positions 1470 to 1796 of the family's 1831-position model. The record is from RNAcentral.
CCCUUAGAUGUCCUGGGCCGCACGCGCGCUACACUGACAUGUUCAACAAGUUUCUCCUAGUUCGACAGGACUAGGAAAUCUUUGAACGCAUGUCGUGAUAGGGAUAGAUCAUUGCAAUUAUUGAUCUUGAACGAGGAAUUCCUAGUAAACGCGAGUCAUCAGCUCGCAUUGAUUACGUCCCUGCCCUUUGUACACACCGCCCGUCGCACCUACCGAUUGAAUGUUUCGGUGAAGAUUCCGGAUAGGACUGAUUUGAUUUAUUUCAUUUCUGACCUAAAAGCUAUCUAAACCUCAACAUUUAGAGGAAGGUGAAGUCGUAACA